CCUACGGGGGGCAGCAGUGAGGAAUAUUGGUCAAUGGCCGGAAGCCUGAACCAGCCAUGCCGCGUGAAGGUCAGUGCCCUAUGGGCGUUAAACUUCUUUUGUGCGGGAGCAAUAAUGGUCACGUGUGGCCAGACGAGAGUACCGUACGAAUAAGCAUCGGCUAACUCCGUGCCAGCAGCCGCGGUAAUACGGGGGGUGCAAGCGUUAUCCGGAUUUAUUGGGUUUAAAGGGUGCGUAGGCUGUGAGGUAAGUCAGCGGGGGAAUGCCCCCGCUCAACGGGGUGAAGUGCCAUUGAUACUGCCUUGCUGGAAUGCGGUUGCGGUGGGAGGAAUGUGUGGUGUAGCGGUGAAAUGCAUAGAUAUCACACAGAACACCGAUUGCGAAGGCAUCUCACGAAUCCGCGAUUGACGCUGAUGCACGAAAGCGUGGGUAGCAAACAGGAUUAGAUACCCGUGUAGUC
Molecule: ribosomal RNA, 460 nt
Filed under: uncultured bacterium
Lineage: Bacteria
Description: partial 16S ribosomal RNA
Rfam family: Bacterial small subunit ribosomal RNA
Source: RNAcentral